RNAcentral lists this ribosomal RNA (358 nucleotides) under Salmonella enterica subsp. enterica serovar Kintambo. Its description in RNAcentral is "partial 23S ribosomal RNA". It matches the Rfam family "Bacterial large subunit ribosomal RNA", at positions 2054 to 2411 of the family's 2925-position model. The record is from RNAcentral. Lineage: Bacteria; Pseudomonadati; Pseudomonadota; Gammaproteobacteria; Enterobacterales; Enterobacteriaceae.
UGAAGAUGCAGUGUACCCGCGGCAAGACGGAAAGACCCCGUGAACCUUUACUAUAGCUUGACACUGAACACUGGUCCUUGAUGUGUAGGAUAGGUGGGAGGCUUUGAAGUGUGGACGCCAGUCUGCAUGGAGCCAUCCUUGAAAUACCACCCUUUAAUGGCUGGUGUUCUAACGUGGGCCCCUAAUCGGGGUUGCGGACAGUGUCUGGUGGGUAGUUUGACUGGGGCGGUCUCCUCCCAAAGAGUAACGGAGGAGCACGAAGGUUAGCUAAUCCUGGUCGGACAUCAGGAGGUUAGUGCAAAGGCAUAAGCUAGCUUGACUGCGAGAGUGACGGCUCGAGCAGGUGCGAAAGCAGGUC